This 91-nucleotide transfer RNA is filed under the name Elusimicrobia bacterium HGW-Elusimicrobia-1. RNAcentral describes it as "tRNA-Ser". It matches the Rfam family "tRNA". Rfam says of the family: Transfer RNA (tRNA) molecules are approximately 80 nucleotides in length. Their secondary structure includes four short double-helical elements and three loops (D, anti-codon, and T loops). Further hydrogen bonds mediate the characteristic L-shaped molecular structure. tRNAs have two regions of fundamental functional importance: the anti-codon, which is responsible for specific mRNA codon recognition, and the 3' end, to which the tRNAs corresponding amino acid is attached (by aminoacyl-tRNA synthetases). tRNAs cope with the degeneracy of the genetic code in two manners: having more than one tRNA (with a specific anti-codon) for a particular amino acid; and 'wobble' base-pairing, i.e. permitting non-standard base-pairing at the 3rd anti-codon position. The record is from RNAcentral. Lineage: Bacteria; Pseudomonadati; Elusimicrobiota.
GGAGAGGUGGCCGAGUGGUUGAAGGCGCCGGUCUCGAAAACCGGUAUGGGCCUUGUGUCCAUCGCGAGUUCGAAUCUCGCCCUCUCCGCCA